GAUGAACGCUAGCUACAGGCUUAACACAUGCAAGUCGAGGGGAAACGACAUCGAAAGCUUGCUUUUGAUGGGCGUCGACCGGCGCACGGGUGAGUAACGCGUAUCCAACCUGCCCACCACUUGGGGAUAACCUUGCGAAAGUAAGACUAAUACCCAAUGAUAUCUCUAGAAGACAUCUGAAAGAGAUUAAAGAUUUAUCGGUGAUGGAUGGGGAUGCGUCUGAUUAGCUUGUUGGCGGGGUAACGGCCCACCAAGGCAACGAUCAGUAGGGGUUCUGAGAGGAAGGUCCCCCACAUUGGAACUGAGACACGGUCCAAACUCCUACGGGAGGCAGCAGUGAGGAAUAUUGGUCAAUGGGCGAGAGCCUGAACCAGCCAAGUAGCGUGCAGGAAGACGGCCCUAUGGGUUGUAAACUGCUUUUAUAAGGGAAUAAAGUUAGUCUCGUGAGACUUUUUGCAUGUACCUUAUGAAUAAGGACCGGCUAAUUCCGUGCCAGCAGCCGCGGUAAUACGGAAGGUCCGGGCGUUAUCCGGAUUUAUUGGGUUUAAAGGGAGCGUAGGCCGGAGAUUAAGCGUGUUGUGAAAUGUAGACGCUCAACGUCUGCACUGCAGCGCGAACUGGUUUCCUUGAGUACGCACAAAGUGGGCGGAAUUCGUGGUGUAGCGGUGAAAUGCUUAGAUAUCACGAAGAACUCCGAUUGCGAAGGCAGCUCACUGAAGCGCAACUGACGCUGAAGCUCGAAAGUGCGGGUAUCGAACAGGAUUAGAUACCCUGGUAGUCCGCACGGUAAACGAUAGAUGCCCGCUGUUGGUCUGAAUAGGUCAGCGGCCAAGCGAAAGCAUAA
RNAcentral lists this ribosomal RNA (844 nucleotides) under uncultured bacterium. RNAcentral describes it as "bacterial SSU rRNA". It matches the Rfam family "Bacterial small subunit ribosomal RNA", at positions 28 to 862 of the family's 1533-position model. The record is from RNAcentral.